Molecule: ribosomal RNA, 1375 nt
Filed under: Parasyscia sp. 1 RL-2020
Lineage: Eukaryota; Metazoa; Arthropoda; Insecta; Hymenoptera; Formicidae
Description: partial 28S ribosomal RNA
Rfam family: Eukaryotic large subunit ribosomal RNA
Source: RNAcentral
UUGAAAAGAACUUUGAAGAGAGAGUUCAAGAGUACGUGAAACCGUUCAGGGGUAAACCUAAGAAACCCAAAAGAUCGAACGGGGAGAUUCAUCGUCAGCGGCGCAGGCUUCGCGUCGGUGGGCGAUGCCUCGCGGUGCCGUUCCACGGCACUCGCGCGGGCACGCUACCGUGCGCCGAUGUCCGGCGUCGUCGUCGUGCACUUCUCCCCUAGUAGGACGUCGCGACCCGCUGGGUGUCGGUCUACGGCCCGAUCACGUUGACUGUCGCGUCGCCGGUAAAACGGCACGCGGCAAACGUCGGUCGCCCGGCCGGCUGCCCGGCGGUACACGCAACGGUAUCAGGCCGCGCUUCGCGCGCGUCGAGCCCGUCGCAAGCGAGCGCCACGGUACCCGGUGGUACGGACCUAGAGCCGUCCCCGGUCCUGGCCCGCUGUUAGCAGUACGGUGCAACCUUCGACAGGCCUCCUCUCGUUAACGCGAGAGUUACCGGUCGGCGACGCUACUGCUUUGGGUACUCUUAGGACCCGUCUUGAAACACGGACCAAGGAGUCUAACAUGUACGCGAGUCAUUGGGACUAGCGAUACCUAAAGGCGCAAUGAAAGUGAAGAUCGGCGCUGGCCGCCGAUCGAGGGAGGAUGGGCCGCGUCUCGAUGCGGCUCCGCACUCCCGGGGCGUCUCGCUCUCAUCGCGAGAAGAGGCGCACCCAGAGCGUACACGUUGGGACCCGAAAGAUGGUGAACUAUGCCUGGUCAGGACGAAGUCAGGGGAAACCCUGAUGGAGGUCCGUAGCGAUUCUGACGUGCAAAUCGAUCGUCGGAACUGGGUAUAGGGGCGAAAGACUAAUCGAACCAUCUAGUAGCUGGUUCCCUCCGAAGUUUCCCUCAGGAUAGCUGGCACUCGACCGUUCCGCGCGGAACGCGUUCGAGUCUCAUCUGGUAAAGCGAAUGAUUAGAGGCCUUGGGGCCGAAACGACCUCAACCUAUUCUCAAACUUUAAAUGGGUGAGAUCUCUGGCUUUCUUGAACUAUGAAGCCAAGAGCAUCUCGGAUCAGAGUGCCAAGUGGGCCAUUUUUGGUAAGCAGAACUGGCGCUGUGGGAUGAACCAAACGCAGAGUUAAGGCGCCCAACUCGACGCUCAUGGGACACCAUGAAAGGCGUUGGUUGCUUAAGACAGCAGGACGGUGGCCAUGGAAGUCGGAAUCCGCUAAGGAGUGUGUAACAACUCACCUGCCGAAGCAACUAGCCCUGAAAAUGGAUGGCGCUGAAGCGUCGAGCCUAUACUCUGCCGUCAGCGGCAAGUGGGGCGGCCGCCUCGCGCGGUCGUCACGAAGCCCUGACGAGUAGGAGGGUCGCGACGGUGAGCGCAGAAGGGUCU